Long non-coding RNA from Brienomyrus brachyistius, 321 nucleotides. RefSeq lists it as uncharacterized. Lineage: Eukaryota; Metazoa; Chordata; Actinopteri; Osteoglossiformes; Mormyridae. The record is from RefSeq and is a predicted model, not a curated record. The transcript is spliced from 3 exons.
AAAACCUGAAGUAGUUCAUAGACAUGGAUUAGGUGCUCACUCUAUUCGGAAGCCUUUUAGUGGUUCCAUGCCACUGCUAAGGAAAGUAUUCAUCAACAAUUUGUGGAUGUCCAUCAGAUGGAGGAUAGGACACAACCACUAUAACAUCUGAGUGCUGUUGCAAUCCAGGGCCAAACUCCAUCUGGCUCAGGAAACCAGGGCUGGGUCUGCUGUCUCUUCUGGGUUUCCGCUUCAUUAUCCUCAUCUCUGGCUCAUUGCGAGUUGGCAUCACCAUUCCAAGGAAACCAUUCAUUUCAAAAUUAAUGGUACCUAUAUCUCGAG